RNAcentral lists this non-coding RNA (30 nucleotides) under Homo sapiens (human). The record is from RNAcentral. Lineage: Eukaryota; Metazoa; Chordata; Mammalia; Primates; Hominidae.
UGAAGAGAAGUGAUUGAGGGCUAUUGUGGA